CGUGCCAGCAGCCGCGGUAAUACGUAGGUGGCAAGCGUUGUCCGGAAUUAUUGGGCGUAAAGGGCUCGCAGGCGGUUUCUUAAGUCUGAUGUGAAAGCCCCCGGCUCAACCGGGGAGGGUCAUUGGAAACUGGGGAACUUGAGUGCAGAAGAGGAGAGUGGAAUUCCACGUGUAGCGGUGAAAUGCGUAGAGAUGUGGAGGAACACCAGUGGCGAAGGCGACUCUCUGGUCUGUAACUGACGCUGAGGAGCGAAAGCGUGGGGAGCGAACAGGAUUAGAUACCCUGGUAGUCCACGCCGUAAACGAUGAGUGCUAAGUGUUAGGGGGUUUCCGCCCCUUAGUGCUGCAGCUAACGCAUUAAGCACUCCGCCUGGGGAGUACGGUCGCAAGACUGAAACUCAAAGGAAUUGACGGGGGCCCGCACAAGCGGUGGAGCAUGUGGUUUAAUUCGAAGCAACGCGAAGAACCUUACCAGGUCUUGACAUCCUCUGACAAUCCUAGAGAUAGGACGUCCCCUUCGGGGGCAGAGUGACAGGUGGUGCAUGGUUGUCGUCAGCUCGUGUCGUGAGAUGUUGGGUUAAGUCCCGCAACGAGCGCAACCCUUGAUCUUAGUUGCCAGCAUUCAGUUGGGCACUCUAAGGUGACUGCCG
This 650-nucleotide ribosomal RNA is filed under the name Bacillus subtilis. RNAcentral's name for it is "bacterial SSU rRNA". It matches the Rfam family "Bacterial small subunit ribosomal RNA", at positions 504 to 1154 of the family's 1533-position model. The record is from RNAcentral. Lineage: Bacteria; Bacillati; Bacillota; Bacilli; Caryophanales; Bacillaceae.